Perognathus longimembris pacificus (Pacific pocket mouse) is the source of this 259-nucleotide long non-coding RNA. RefSeq lists it as uncharacterized. The record is from RefSeq and is a predicted model, not a curated record. The transcript is spliced from 3 exons. Lineage: Eukaryota; Metazoa; Chordata; Mammalia; Rodentia; Heteromyidae.
CUCAAUUCAAGCCCCAGUACUAGCACAAAAACAAAAACACUACUAAGUACUCUGGGGAAAUAAUGUAAGUGUAUGAGGGUAGAAAGGACAGAGGCUCAAAAAUACAUAAAUACAAUAUGCCAAUUACAAGCAGGCAGUAACUUUUAGAGAUGAUGACGAUGUGAUUGGGCUUCAAUAGUUCCUCAAAAUUCACCUCAAGAAUUAAGCCUAAGUGGAACUAAAUUUUCUAGGUAUUUUGUGUGGCACUCCAAGAUAUGGA